This 550-nucleotide ribosomal RNA is filed under the name Physconia grisea. Its description in RNAcentral is "SSU rRNA". It matches the Rfam family "Bacterial small subunit ribosomal RNA", at positions 357 to 929 of the family's 1533-position model. Lineage: Eukaryota; Fungi; Ascomycota; Lecanoromycetes; Caliciales; Physciaceae. The record is from RNAcentral.
AGGAAUGUAUAGCGAAAGCUAGUUGCAUUUAACUUAGCGAAAGCUAAGUUGAUGCAGGAUUGACUAUGUCAAAUAAAGUUCUAGGUGGGUUAUGAUGAUGACAUUUCCUAUCUAUGUGUCUUGACCAAAUUACGUGCCAGCAGUCGCGGUAACACGUAAAAGACUAGUGUUAUUCAUCUUUAAUAGGUUUAAAGGGUACCUAGACGGUAAAUCAAGUCCAAGAAGGGUACUAAUUUUACUAGAGUUUAAUAUGAGGGGGCACUAAAGUACUGAUAAGUGUAGAGAUGAAAUUCUGUGAUACAAUAUACGGCACUGGUAAAGGCGAAAGCAUCUCAUUAUGUAAUAACUGACGUUGAGGGACGAAGGCUAGGUGUAGCAAAAAGGAUUAGAUACCCAAGUAGUCUUAGCAGAAAAUUAUGAAUGUCAUAGGAUGGAAAGUUGGAUGGACAAACAACAAAUUUUUUUUUCUAUAAAUGAAAGUGUAAGCAUUCCACCUCGAGAGUAAUUUGGCAACAUUGGAACUGAAAUCAUUAGACCGUUUCUGAACAAG